This 253-nucleotide ribosomal RNA is filed under the name uncultured bacterium. RNAcentral describes it as "partial 16S ribosomal RNA". It matches the Rfam family "Bacterial small subunit ribosomal RNA", at positions 524 to 776 of the family's 1533-position model. The record is from RNAcentral.
UACGAAGGGGGCUAGCGUUGCUCGGAAUCACUGGGCGUAAAGCGCACGUAGGCGGCUUGUUAAGUCGGGGGUGAGAUCCUGGAGCUCAACUCCAGAACUGCCUUCGAUACUGGCGAGCUCGAGUCCGGGAGAGGUGAGUGGAACUCCGAGUGUAGAGGUGAAAUUCGUAGAUAUUCGGAAGAACACCAGUGGCGAAGGCGGCUCACUGGCCCGGUACUGACGCUGAGGUGCGAAAGCGUGGGGAGCAAACAGG